This 204-nucleotide unclassified non-coding RNA is filed under the name uncultured Thelephoraceae. Its description in RNAcentral is "sequence contains ITS1". Lineage: Eukaryota; Fungi; Basidiomycota; Agaricomycetes; Thelephorales; Thelephoraceae. The record is from RNAcentral.
CCGAACUGUCGACAGGAGUUGUUGCUGGUCCUCAAACGGGGGGACAUGUGCACGCUCUUGUUUGUACAUCCACUCACACCUGUGCACCCUCUGUAGGUUCUAUGGCUGGGGGGUCCCAUCCUCCCACCGUGGUCCUGCAUCUUUACACACUCCCACUGUAUAAAAGUCUCAUGGAAUGUAUGUCGCGAUUAACGCAAUACAAUA